Molecule: ribosomal RNA, 494 nt
Filed under: uncultured bacterium
Lineage: Bacteria
Description: partial 16S ribosomal RNA
Rfam family: Bacterial small subunit ribosomal RNA
Source: RNAcentral
GACGAACGCUGGCGGCGUGCUUAACACAUGCAAGUCGAACGGAAAGGCCUGCUUUCCCUUGUGGAUUGCGGGUACUCGAGUGGCGAACGGGUGAGUAACACGUGAGUGAUCUUCCCCCAACUUGGGUAUAAGCCUGGGAAACUGGGUCUAAUUCCCGAUAGGACUGCAGGGUGGUGCCUGUGGUGGAAAACGAUUUUCUAGUGGUUGGGGAUGAGCUCGCGGCCUAUCAGCUUGUUGGUGGGGUAAUGGCCUACCAAGGCGGCGACGGGUAGCCGGCCUGAGAGGGUGGACGGCCACAUUGGGACUGAGAUACGGCCCAGACUGCUACGAGAGGCAGCAGUGGGGAAUAUGGCACAAUGGGCGGAAGCCUGAUGCAGCGACGCCGCGUGGGGGAUGACGGCCUUCGGGUUGUAAACUCCUUUCGACCGCGAGGAAGCCACCUGGUUGGAAGGGUGGUGACGGUAGUGGUAGAAGAAGCACCGGCUAACUACGUG